CCUACGGGGGGCAGCAGUGGGGAAUAUUGCACAAUGGGGGAAACCCUGAUGCAGCGACGCCGCGUGAGUGAAGAAGUAAUUCGUUAUGUAAAGCUCUAUCAGCAGGGAAGAAAAUGACGGUACUUGAGUAAGAAGCCCCGGCUAACUACGUGCCAGCAGCCGCGGUAAUACGUAGGGGGCAAGCGUUAUCCGGAUUUAAUGGGCGUAAAGGGGGCGUAGACGGCAGUGCAAGUCUGGAGUGAAAGGCGGGGGCUAAACCCCCGGACUGCUCUGGAAACUGGACGGCUGGAGUGCAGGAGAGGUAAGUGGAAUUCCUAGUGUAGCGGUGAAAUGCGUAGAUAUUGGGAGGAACACCAGUGGCGAAGGCGGCUUACUGGACUGUAACUGACGUUGAGGCUCGAAAGCGUGGGGAGCGAACAGGAUUAGAUACCCGAGUAGUC
Molecule: ribosomal RNA, 440 nt
Filed under: uncultured bacterium
Lineage: Bacteria
Description: partial 16S ribosomal RNA
Rfam family: Bacterial small subunit ribosomal RNA
Source: RNAcentral